UCCCCGAUUUCCGGGGCAGUCUCCUUAGAGUUCCCGACAUUACUCGCUGGCAACUAAGGAUAGGGGUUGCGCUCGUUGCGGGACUUAACCCAACAUCUCACGACACGAGCUGACGACAGCUAUGCAGCACCUCCGUGGCGGCCCCCGAAGGGGAGACCCUAUUUCUAGGGCUGUCCACCACAGUUCAAGCCCAGGUAAGGUUCUUCGCGUUGCAUCGAAUUAAUCCACAUGCUCCGCCGCUUGCGCGGGCCCCCGUCAAUUCCUUUGAGUUUUAGCCUUGCGGCCAUACUCCCCAGGCGGGGCGCUUAAUGCGUUAGCUACGGCACGGAUCCCGUGGAAGGAAACCCACACCUAGCGCCCACCGUUUACGGCGUGGACUAC
RNAcentral lists this unclassified non-coding RNA (381 nucleotides) under uncultured bacterium. Its description in RNAcentral is "contains 16S-23S intergenic spacer region". The record is from RNAcentral.